This is a non-coding RNA of Marchantia polymorpha subsp. ruderalis, 129 nucleotides long. The record is from the annotation of a GenBank genome assembly. Lineage: Eukaryota; Viridiplantae; Streptophyta; Marchantiopsida; Marchantiales; Marchantiaceae.
AUGGAGCUCCGGACAUUCAUAUUGUUUACUUCUACGGUCUUCGUCGCUCGCGUGGCAAGCGUCGUCGAGCGAGGCGCCGCGCCCGAGGCGAGGUCCAUGGAAGAAGACAAUAUGCUUGUCGUGCUCCAU